This 194-nucleotide unclassified non-coding RNA is filed under the name uncultured fungus. Its description in RNAcentral is "sequence contains ITS1, 5.8S rRNA gene". Lineage: Eukaryota; Fungi. The record is from RNAcentral.
UUAACUAUUAGAUAGUACUCAGACGACACUAACAUUCAGAGUUUGGGUUUCCUUUGGCAGGCACGAUCCAGCCGGAGCCGGUGCCCGAGGGCGGCCUGCCGAAGCAACAAAGAUAUAAUACACAAGGGUGGGCGUUUCUACCCGUGAGGGCAGGGAACACUGUAAUGAUCCUUCCGCAGGUUCACCUACGGAAA